This 319-nucleotide long non-coding RNA is filed under the name Phoenix dactylifera (date palm). Its description in RNAcentral is "long non-coding RNA (PDAC_LNC004432)". Lineage: Eukaryota; Viridiplantae; Streptophyta; Magnoliopsida; Arecales; Arecaceae. The record is from RNAcentral.
ACAUCCAUGGCUUCAGACUAAUAUAAUUUGAGUGGAAGACAGUGAUGAUCGGCCAUGAAAUCAGUCAACACUUAUCUUUUGACCAACUUUUGUGGUACAUAUUGCAAUGUGUACUCUAAUAAAGCUGACAUCCACUUGUCAAUUCUUCCAUGCAUGAUCGGCCUAGUUAACAUGUGUUAACUAUGUUUGUUGAACAAAUUAUAUACACCGAAACAUGUAGCAUGAAGUAUCUUAAUUUAGCACAAGUAUAAUGCAAAGCCGGGCAUAAUUUUUCAAUCGACAAAUAGCACCGUUCAGUUUUUGUUAAAGCACGGCUCAA